GACGAACGCUGGCGGCGUGCUUAACACAUGCAAGUCGAACGGAAAGGCUCCAGCUUGCUGGAGUACUCGAGUGGCGAACGGGUGAGUAACACGUGGGUAAUCUGCCCUGCACUCUGGGAUAAGCCCGGGAAACUGGGUCUAAUACUGGAUAUGACCUUUCUCCUUAUGGGGUUUGGUGGAAAGUUUUUCGGUGUAGGAUGAGCCCGCGGCCUAUCAGCUUGUUGGUGGGGUGAUGGCCUACCAAGGCGACGACGGGUAGCCGGCCUGAGAGGGUGAUCGGCCACAUUGGGACUGAGAUACGGCCCAGACUCCUACGGGAGGCAGCAGUGGGGAAUAUUGCACAAUGGGCGGAAGCCUGAUGCAGCGACGCCGCGUGAGGGAUGACGGCCUUCGGGUUGUAAACCUCUUUCAGCGGGGACGAAGCGUAAGUGACGGUACCUGCAGAAGAAGCACCGGCUAACUACGUG
Molecule: ribosomal RNA, 467 nt
Filed under: uncultured bacterium
Lineage: Bacteria
Description: partial 16S ribosomal RNA
Rfam family: Bacterial small subunit ribosomal RNA
Source: RNAcentral